RNAcentral lists this unclassified non-coding RNA (345 nucleotides) under soil metagenome. Its description in RNAcentral is "partial contains 5.8S ribosomal RNA, internal transcribed spacer 2, and large subunit ribosomal RNA". The stretch from base 1 to 120 matches the Rfam family "5.8S ribosomal RNA", at positions 35 to 154 of the family's 154-position model. The record is from RNAcentral.
GAUGAAGAACGCAGCGAAAUGCGAUAAGUAAUGUGAAUUGCAGAAUUCAGUGAAUCAUCGAAUCUUUGAACGCACAUUGCGCCCCCUGGUAUUCCGGGGGGCAUGCCUGUCCGAGCGUCAUUGCUGCCCUCAAGCACGGCUUGUGUGUUGGGCCUCCGUCCUCCUCCCGGGGGACGGGCCCGAAAGGCAGCGGCGGCACCGCGUCCGGUCCUCGAGCGUAUGGGGCUUCGUCACCCGCUCUUGUAGNNNNGGCCGGCGCUUGCCGACACAUCAAUCUUUUUUCCAGGUUGACCUCGGAUCAGGUAGGGAUACCCGCUGAACUUAAGCAUAUCAAUAAGCGGAGGA